UUCAUCUCUCUGCUUACGUAACAGCCGGGGAGGAAGAUGAACAGUGCCAGGCAGACACUGUUCCCAUAUGACUCAGCCCAACCAGAACUCAAUUGACUUGCCCAAAUAAAACCAAUUCAAUUCAAGUCCUCUGAUCGGUUCAGCCACUUUCCAACCAAAUUCGUUUCGGUUUUCCUAGGUUGCAACAACCAUCUCCAUACCCUUGGACAGAACCUACAAACAAAUGAAUCUAUAGCCUUUCGAAUCAAUUCAAGUAUCGAUUCGCCUUCGGUUCAGUCAUCUUUCAAUAUAAUUCCUUUUGUUCUUCCACUGUAUUUUAAAGUACUAAAACCCUAUAGGCAAUCAUUUAUUCACACCACGUUAAACACCAACC
RNAcentral lists this long non-coding RNA (373 nucleotides) under Oryza brachyantha (malo sina). RNAcentral's name for it is "long non-coding RNA (OBRA_LNC001581)". Lineage: Eukaryota; Viridiplantae; Streptophyta; Magnoliopsida; Poales; Poaceae. The record is from RNAcentral.